AAUACGACUACCACACUACAAAUCCCUAACCUUCUUCCACAGCCCCCAGUCUCGCUGUGUCAUACACUAGAACGACAGCCGCUUCUAUCUCCAGCGUCGCUGCCUCCUCUCAUCUGGUCUUCUGUCCCUCUCUCCGCUGCUGCUGUGCUCUCUUCUCACCCAGUCUCGGUUACUACGUCUAUACUCUCGCUCUAACCUCCGCACACCGCCUGCAAACUAUGCUGCUGGCACCGCAACGAAUACCGCCUCCUUCAGAAACUUAGGUUGCCAGUGCAAUUUAUCAAAUGGAUAUUAAUGGGCAUGGCGGUGAUGAGGAGAACGUGGGAGAUGCUGCAGAAAUAUAAAUAUAGUUAUAAGAAUUUUGCACUCUAACAACACAACAGGUAGCUUAGAAUAUUUCAAUAUUUGGGGUGCUAUUUUUCCACAUUAGCUUUCAAAAUGCAGCUAGAACAAAGCACAUGUGAAGACCAAACUAGUUGGGCAAAGAAAGUGUUGCUGGUCAAACCCUAGCAUGUCAUUGGAAUUUUUUGUAUUGUUUUAAGUAGGAUAGGAAGUGUAUGAAUAAAACAUGAAGCAUGGCAUAAAUAAAACAUUAUGCUUGGACAUAUAACGUACGAUGGAGGGAAAAUGUUGAAGGAUAGCGUGAGAAAGAUUGGAUCAUUGUCUCAAGAGAUGACACAAGCUAUCCACCUUCUGUAAUGUUUGGUCUAUUAAGUAAUAACGUAGAUUUUAAAUGAAAAUAACAAAAAAUGUAAAAUUUGUAAAUUCUGAUUGACUGGUAUUCCAAUUCUUCUCUUUCUUUUAUGCAUCCCGUUUUACGCCACCACCUUCUCACCGUGCCGUGCCGCUGCACGUUGAUCCUGUGCAUUCAUGGCACGAGAGUGUCGCCUCUGUAGAACUCAGCCUGUGCAAGAAUUCAAACAUACCCUCCUUGUGCCAUCUUGACUCUCUGCGCUGUUGCUGCAGUGUUCCUUCACUUCGGGGCACUUCUUGGAAGCCGAUCCCUAUUUUCUCUGAUACGAAUGUCUAUUUCAUAACUUCCAGCACUGUAUCAACUGUCACAUUAUUGUAAUCAAUGAAUUUGUAGUUGUUGCAUUGUGAAAAUGUUGUAACAAUUAACACUUACAUUACAUCUUCGCUAUUCUUUAAUUUAUUUAUUUAUUUUAAUAUCAAUGUAUGAGGUGAUAUUGUUGUAUGUAGAAUUAGACAUGUAUUAACUGAAUGUGGGACCAGAAAAAAAAGAAAGACGUCCUGGGCUGUGUUUAUGAUUGAUUGGCUUUGUUAUGUUCUGUAUUUGUUCAUGGUUUAUAUUGAGGUAGUCAAUAAAUAGCUUGAAUUCGUUAUCUUCCCAUUUACUUGAGUUUGUAAAUGAGUUAAUGUGAAGUCUGAAAGUUGAAAUGAUCACAAGUUGAGAACAUGUUAACAGGGACUUAGUAGAGUGAGAUUAUGCUGAUUGAUUAGGUUUGAAUUAAUGUUUUUAUUUAUUUCAUAAUUUGAAUUUUGAUGCCUUUUUUGUUCUUCUUUCAAUACUCCAAUCUAUUAAUGUAAUUGUAUUUUGU
Molecule: long non-coding RNA, 1559 nt
Organism: Arachis duranensis
Lineage: Eukaryota; Viridiplantae; Streptophyta; Magnoliopsida; Fabales; Fabaceae
Exons: 3
Source: RefSeq, a predicted model, not a curated record